AACGAACGCUGGCGGCAGGCCUAACACAUGCAAGUCGAGCGCCCUUUCGGGGGAGCGGCGGCCGGGUGAGUAACGCGUGGGAAUAUGCCCUUCUCUACGGAAUAGCCUCGGGAAACUGAGAGUAAUACCGUAUACGCCCUUUGGGGGAAAGAUUUAUCGGGGAAGGAUUAGCCCGCGUUGGAUUAGGUAGUUGGUGGGGUAAUGGCCUACCAAGCCGACGAUCCAUAGCUGGUUUGAGAGGAUGAUCAGCCACACUGGGACUGAGACACGGCCCAGACUCCUGCGGGAGGCAGCAGUGGGGAAUCUUAGACAAUGGGGGCGACCCUGAUCUAGCCAUGCCGCGUGAGUGAUGAAGGCCUUAGGGUUGUAAAGCUCUUUCAGCUGGGAAGAUAAUGACGGUACCAGCAGAAGAAGCCCCGGCUAACUCCGUG
This 431-nucleotide ribosomal RNA is filed under the name uncultured bacterium. Its description in RNAcentral is "partial 16S ribosomal RNA". It matches the Rfam family "Bacterial small subunit ribosomal RNA", at positions 29 to 507 of the family's 1533-position model. The record is from RNAcentral.